RNAcentral lists this microRNA precursor (55 nucleotides) under Pelobates cultripes (western spadefoot toad). The record is from RNAcentral. Lineage: Eukaryota; Metazoa; Chordata; Amphibia; Anura; Pelobatidae.
AUUAGUGGGUUCACCACCUCACACCUUUAUUUUGUGAGGUGGUGAACCCACUAAU